Molecule: long non-coding RNA, 1090 nt
Organism: Lingula anatina
Lineage: Eukaryota; Metazoa; Brachiopoda; Lingulata; Lingulida; Lingulidae
Source: RefSeq, a predicted model, not a curated record
GUGAGAGGUGUUCAGAAAGGACCAAGGUCAGUAGAAGAUGGAAAAGAAAGCCUUGUGUCUCAUUGCCACAAUUUUCACGAAAUGGUCGGAAAUCUGGAACUGAAAUUGCCAUCGAUCUGUUAUGGAAUGCAUUUGCCAGAAAACGGGUGGUGAGAGAUUUGCUCCAGCAGUGAACGCGUCUUCCGUCUUAAACAAUGUAAGGAGAUCUUGGCAGAUGGAAUGCAUUUGCCAGAAAACGGGUGGUGAGAGAUUUGCUCCAGCAGUGAACGCGUCUUCCGUCUUAAACAAUGUAAGGAGAUCUUGGCAGUGACUCAAUCGUGCACGAGAAGAUUGAAUACGUUCUCCAUCAAUGACGACAGACUGGUGUUCCACAACGGCUGCAUCCAUGUCAAGAUUACAUGUCGCAUGUCAGAGUUUGUCUGCUAGUAAAUUUACAGGGUUGAAACUUAAUAUAAAGUGUAAUGUUUGCUUUGGGUUGUGAAUCGACUGUAGUUAUUUUCAAACUAUCACAAAGUAGUGUUCAGGAAGAGUACUUUGCUACACGUACAUGUUGUAGUGGUUUAUUUCCGUGUAGGUGUGGAAACAUAAACAACAUCUUUGAAAAACCAUCGAAUUAUCGUACAAAAUUACUUUUUAAUUGUAUUUUGCUUCUUUAAACAAAAAAUGAAUAAUUGUAAUUCUCUCAGUAUAAAAAAAAAUUAUCCAGAAGUGUGUAGAUCAACGCUCUGUUAAAGGUUGGCCUUGUAUUGUGCCUUGUAUUUUUUUAGUUGACUUUUUGGUCGCAAUCAAAGAGUGAUUGAAGAAUAACUCCUUAUCGGAUGUCAGUCUUGCAUGUCCUGUCGAGUUAUAAUGCUGAGUGUCACUUGAUCACUGAACACCGGAGACCAGUCUUAAGUUUAUUAGCAUUGUCUUAGUAAAUGUGCAUUUGCAAAAUCUUUUUUUCCGUUCUUCUUUGCACAUUAUUCUUUAAAAUAGCUAUGGUUGAAAUAAGCUUGUAAGUUGGCCAUGUCAUUAUGACGUUUCUGAUUCGCAUGCUGUACAAAUUUCAGUUUUCGCUCAAAGUUGUGCCAUGAAAUGCAUAUUUAAGCAA